AUUGAACGCUGGCGGCAUGCUUUACACAUGCAAGUCGAACGGCAGCACGGAGAGCUUGCUCUCUGGUGGCGAGUGGCGAACGGGUGAGUAAUGCAUCGGAACGUACCGAGUAAUGGGGGAUAACUGUCCGAAAGGAUGGCUAAUACCGCAUACGCCCUGAGGGGGAAAGCGGGGGAUCGAAAGACCUCGCGUUAUUUGAGCGGCCGAUGUUGGAUUAGCUAGUUGGUGGGGUAAAGGCCUACCAAGGCGACGAUCCAUAGCGGGUCUGAGAGGAUGAUCCGCCACAUUGGGACUGAGACACGGCCCAAACUCCUACGGGAGGCAGCAGUGGGGAAUUUUGGACAAUGGGGGGAACCCUGAUCCAGCCAUGCCGCGUGUCUGAAGAAGGCCUUCGGGUUGUAAAGGACUUUUGUUAGGGAAGAAAAGCCGGGUGUUAAUACCACCUGGUGCUGACGGUACCUAAAGAAUAAGCACCGGCUAACUACGUGCCAGCAGCCGCGGUAAUACGUAGGGUGCGAGCGUUAAUCGGAAUUACUGGGCGUAAAGCGAGCGCAGACGGUUAAUUAAGUCAGAUGUGAAAUCCCCGAGCUCAACUUGGGACGUGCAUUUGAAACUGGUUAACUAGAGUGUGUCAGAGGGAGGUAGAAUUCCACGUGUAGCAGUGAAAUGCGUAGAGAUGUGGAGGAAUACCGAUGGCGAAGGCAGCCUCCUGGGAUAACACUGACGUUCAUGCUCGAAAGCGUGGGUAGCAAACAGGGAUUAGAUACCCUGGUAGUCCACGCCCCUAAACGAUGACCAUUAGCUGUUGGGGACACUAGAAUGUUUUUAGUUAGCGAAACCUAAC
This 844-nucleotide ribosomal RNA is filed under the name uncultured bacterium. RNAcentral's name for it is "bacterial SSU rRNA". It matches the Rfam family "Bacterial small subunit ribosomal RNA", at positions 28 to 856 of the family's 1533-position model. The record is from RNAcentral.